CAGUUAAAAAGCUCGUAGUUGGAUUUCGGAGUGAGCUAGUUGGUCCGCCGCAAGGUGUGUUACUGACUAGUUUGCUCUUCUUCGCAAAGACUGCGUGUGCUCUUGAGUGAGUGUGCGUAGGAUUUACGACGUUUACUUUGAAAAAAUUAGAGUGUUCAAAGCAGGCUAUUGCUUGAAUACAUGAGCAUGGAAUAAUGGAAUAGGACUUUGGUCCCAUUUUGUUGGUUUCUAGGACCGAAGUAAUGAUUAAGAGGGACAAUUGGGGGCAUCCGUAUUUCGUUGUCAGAGGUGAAAUUCUUGGAUUUACGGAAGACGAACAACUGCGAAAGCACUUGCCAAGAGUGUUUUCAUUAAUCAAGAACGAAAGUUAGAGGAUCGAAGACGAUCAGAUACCGUCCUAGUUCUAACCAUAAACGAUGUCGACUAGGGAUCAGCGGGCGUUAUCGUACGACCCCGUUGGCACCUUACGGGAAACCAAAGUUUCUGGAUUCCGGGGGAAGUAUGGUUGCAAAAGCUGAAACUUAAAGGAAUUGGACGGAAGGGCACCACCAGGAGUGGAGCCUGUGGCUCAAUUUGACUCAACACGGGAAAAACUUACCAGGUCCAGACUUAGUAAGGAUC
RNAcentral lists this ribosomal RNA (621 nucleotides) under uncultured marine eukaryote. RNAcentral describes it as "SSU rRNA". It matches the Rfam family "Eukaryotic small subunit ribosomal RNA", at positions 616 to 1241 of the family's 1831-position model. The record is from RNAcentral.